RNAcentral lists this ribosomal RNA (481 nucleotides) under uncultured bacterium. RNAcentral's name for it is "partial 16S ribosomal RNA". It matches the Rfam family "Bacterial small subunit ribosomal RNA", at positions 29 to 507 of the family's 1533-position model. The record is from RNAcentral.
AUUGAACGCUGGCGGCAUGCUUUACACAUGCAAGUCGAACGGUAACAGGCCGCAAGGUGCUGACGAGUGGCGAACGGGUGAGUAAUGCAUCGGAACGUGCCCAGUCGUGGGGGAUAACUACUCGAAAGAGUAGCUAAUACCGCAUACGAUCUAUGGAUGAAAGCGGGGGACCGUAAGGCCUCGCGCGAUUGGAGCGGCCGAUGUCAGAUUAGGUAGUUGGUGGGGUAAAGGCUCACCAAGCCAACGAUCUGUAGCUGGUCUGAGAGGACGACCAGCCACACUGGAACUGAGAAACGGCCCAGACCCCAAGGGGAGGCAGAAGUGGGGAAUUUUGGACAAUGGGGGCAAGCCUGAUCCAGCAAGGCGGCGUGAAGGAAGAAGGCCUUCGGGUGGUAAACUGCUUUGUACGGAACGAAACGGCUCUGGUUAAUACCCGGGGCUAAUGACGGUACCGUAAGAAUAAGCACCGGCUAACUACGUG